This 2093-nucleotide ribosomal RNA is filed under the name Staphylococcus aureus DAR1199. Its description in RNAcentral is "bacterial LSU rRNA". It matches the Rfam family "Bacterial large subunit ribosomal RNA", at positions 3 to 2094 of the family's 2925-position model. Lineage: Bacteria; Bacillati; Bacillota; Bacilli; Caryophanales; Staphylococcaceae. The record is from RNAcentral.
UUAAGUUAUUAAGGGCGCACGGUGGAUGCCUUGGCACUAGAAGCCGAUGAAGGACGUUACUAACGACGAUAUGCUUUGGGGAGCUGUAAGUAAGCUUUGAUCCAGAGAUUUCCGAAUGGGGAAACCCAGCAUGAGUUAUGUCAUGUUAUCGAUAUGUGAAUACAUAGCAUAUCAGAAGGCACACCCGGAGAACUGAAACAUCUUAGUACCCGGAGGAAGAGAAAGAAAAUUCGAUUCCCUUAGUAGCGGCGAGCGAAACGGGAAGAGCCCAAACCAAAAAGCUUGCUUGUUGGGGUUGUAGGACACUCUAUACGGAGUUACAAAGGACGACAUUAGACGAAUCAUCUGGAAAGAUGAAUCAAAGAAGGUAAUAAUCCUGUAGUCGAAAAUGUUGUCUCUCUUGAGUGGAUCCUGAGUACGACGGAGCACGUGAAAUUCCGUCGGAAUCUGGGAGGACCAUCUCCUAAGGCUAAAUACUCUCUAGUGACCGAUAGUGAACCAGUACCGUGAGGGAAAGGUGAAAAGCACCCCGGAAGGGGAGUGAAAUAGAACCUGAAACCGUGUGCUUACAAGUAGUCAGAGCCCGUUAAUGGGUGAUGGCGUGCCUUUUGUAGAAUGAACCGGCGAGUUACGAUUUGAUGCAAGGUUAAGCAGUAAAUGUGGAGCCGUAGCGAAAGCGAGUCUGAAUAGGGCGUUUAGUAUUUGGUCGUAGACCCGAAACCAGGUGAUCUACCCUUGGUCAGGUUGAAGUUCAGGUAACACUGAAUGAAGGACCGAACCGACUUACGUUGAAAAGUGAGCGGAUGAACUGAGGGUAGCGGAGAAAUUCCAAUCGAACCUGGAGAUAGCUGGUUCUCUCCGAAAUAGCUUUAGGGCUAGCCUCAAGUGAUGAUUAUUGGAGGUAGAGCACUGUUUGGACGAGGGGCCCCUCUCGGGUUACCGAAUUCAGACAAACUCCGAAUGCCAAUUAAUUUAACUUGGGAGUCAGAACAUGGGUGAUAAGGUCCGUGUUCGAAAGGGAAACAGCCCAGACCACCAGCUAAGGUCCCAAAAUAUAUGUUAAGUGGAAAAGGAUGUGGCGUUGCCCAGACAACUAGGAUGUUGGCUUAGAAGCAGCCAUCAUUUAAAGAGUGCGUAAUAGCUCACUAGUCGAGUGACACUGCGCCGAAAAUGUACCGGGGCUAAACAUAUUACCGAAGCUGUGGAUUGUCCUUUGGACAAUGGUAGGAGAGCGUUCUAAGGGCGUUGAAGCAUGAUCGUAAGGACAUGUGGAGCGCUUAGAAGUGAGAAUGCCGGUGUGAGUAGCGAAAGACGGGUGAGAAUCCCGUCCACCGAUUGACUAAGGUUUCCAGAGGAAGGCUCGUCCGCUCUGGGUUAGUCGGGUCCUAAGCUGAGGCCGACAGGCGUAGGCGAUGGAUAACAGGUUGAUAUUCCUGUACCACCUAUAAUCGUUUUAAUCGAUGGGGGGACGCAGUAGGAUAGGCGAAGCGUGCGAUUGGAUUGCACGUCUAAGCAGUAAGGCUGAGUAUUAGGCAAAUCCGGUACUCGUUAAGGCUGAGCUGUGAUGGGGAGAAGACAUUGAGUCUUCGAGUCGUUGAUUUCACACUGCCGAGAAAAGCCUCUAGAUAGAAAAUAGGUGCCCGUACCGCAAACCGACACAGGUAGUCAAGAUGAGAAUUCUAAGGUGAGCGAGCGAACUCUCGUUAAGGAACUCGGCAAAAUGACCCCGUAACUUCGGGAGAAGGGGUGCUCUUUAGGGUUAACGCCCAGAAGAGCCGCAGUGAAUAGGCCCAAGCGACUGUUUAUCAAAAACACAGGUCUCUGCUAAACCGUAAGGUGAUGUAUAGGGGCUGACGCCUGCCCGGUGCUGGAAGGUUAAGAGGAGUGGUUAGCUUCUGCGAAGCUACGAAUCGAAGCCCCAGUAAACGGCGGCCGUAACUAUAACGGUCCUAAGGUAGCGAAAUUCCUUGUCGGGUAAGUUCCGACCCGCACGAAAGGCGUAACGAUUUGGGCACUGUCUCAACGAGAGACUCGGUGAAAUCAUAGUACCUGUGAAGAUGCAGGUUACCCGCGACAGGACGGAAAGACCCCGU